This 298-nucleotide unclassified non-coding RNA is filed under the name plant metagenome. RNAcentral describes it as "partial contains 5.8S ribosomal RNA, internal transcribed spacer 2, and large subunit ribosomal RNA". The stretch from base 1 to 104 matches the Rfam family "5.8S ribosomal RNA", at positions 50 to 154 of the family's 154-position model. The record is from RNAcentral.
GAAAUGCGAUAAGUAAUGUGAAUUGCAGAAUUCAGUGAAUCAUCGAAUCUUUGAACGCACAUUGCGCCCCCUGAUAUUCCGGGGGCAUGCCUGUUCGAGCGUCAUUUCACCACUCAAGCCUCGCUUGGUAUUGGGCGACGCGGUCCGCCGCGCGCCUCAAAUCGACCGGCUGGGUCUUCCGUCCCCUCAGCGUUGUGGAAACUAUUCGCUAAAGGGUGCCGCGGGAGGUCACGCCGCAAAACAACCCCAUUUCUAAGGUUGACCUCGGAUCAGGUAGGGAUACCCGCUGAACUUAAGC